This is a long non-coding RNA of Magnolia sinica, 2349 nucleotides long. RefSeq lists it as uncharacterized. The record is from RefSeq and is a predicted model, not a curated record. NCBI's taxonomy places the organism in Eukaryota, Viridiplantae, Streptophyta, Magnoliopsida, Magnoliales, Magnoliaceae. The transcript has 8 exons.
GACCUCGAGCAUGUUAAUUUAAACUGCAACCCUGCUGGCUGUUGUGACUAACUGAUGAGGCAGGCACUAUACUUUUCUUCAAUCAUGUCUGGGGAGAGGUAGGAAAUUUAGUUGUGGUCCUCUUAGACAAUCAUGAUGCAUUUGGUUGUCAUCUAAAUUGCAAAUUGAUGGGAAUUUUUGGCUUAAAAGAUGGCUAUUUGUUCCAUCUGACACUUGGAGUGGUGCAAGUUUUUUGAAACUACAUUAUCGAAGGUCCCAUUUUUCAGCCUUGUGUGCGCCAAAUCAGUAUCCAGAUUCAGGUUGGACGUGAAACACUGGGGAUGUUGAUUUGGGGAGAAAAGCAUCCUGCCUGGGCAGAAAAAUCAGGACAUGGAAAUGCAACCUUUAAGUGCAUGGGGCUGAUAUUUCUUGUAAUUAGGAGUUUGAUUUCAUUAUUCACUUCACUUGGUCCCUUUUUAAUUAAAAACAGGAUAUAAAGCUCAUACCACCAUUCUGGUUGGAUAAGUAGGUCCAAAUAUCCUUUAGAUAAAAUAGUAGAGACCUCAUUGUUCUCUUAGAAUUUUUCUACAAAGGCCAUUGGAUAUAUCAAUUCCUGGCAUUUUUUAUUGCACAGUUCAAAAACUCACUGACUCGACUCGAAACUCGAGGGAGUAAACUCUGACUUGCUGAGAUUUUUAGCUGCAUCACUGGGAAACUUGGUUGUGGCCGUGACUCGACCUCACUGAGAUUGUAUCCUGUUGUUGUUUGAUAGAUUUUGACUCUAAAUUUUUAUUUUUCAGAGAAAUCAACAGUAGAGAAUGCAGGACAAAGUCAGCAUUGACCCAUGGUAGUCCAGGUUCAACUCUCUCUACCUUGUUAGGCAUAUGUAUACUUGGGUUUAUUUUCAUGGUAUUUUGAUUAUUUACAAUGGCACGUAUCCAUUUAAUGUUCUAACUAUUACACCCAUCUCUUUAUAUCACAUGACAUCAUCAAUAUGAUUAAAUAUCUUUCAGUAUGUUACUUACCAGGAAAAAAAAAAAAAAGAACAUUUUUUGCCUACUUUUGAGGUUUUUAUGGUUCCAAUGGCAUAUUAUUUCUAUUCUCAGUCAGGACUGUGUAAUUAUGGAUGAUAGGUUAUGCUUUAAACUUCAUUGAUCUAGUGAAAAAUGAGAGUUUCAUUGAUGUAGGUCAUACUUGUACAUAGGACCAGUUUGGCGGUUGUCCAUUGUUUUUUGUGGUCCACAUGAUGAGGGGAUUGGUCUGAUUUUUGCAUCUUUGUGGUGGGGCCAAGCAAUGAGUGCAUCAUCACAGUUUUUGCAUUUAUGUAUUUCUAUUUUGUUCAUGAAUUACUUUACUAUGAAUAAUUGCAAAUCAUUUUUAGGCUUUAACCAGAGAUUUAAUUUGUACUCUCUAGAUUUUAUAGGUGAUGCUGCUUGCACAUUUCAAGCGAUUGAUGAGAGAGUUUACACAUAUGCAUGACCAAGCUGUUCAUCCAACCUGAUUCUUGGACCAAGCAUAAGUUGUGGGUGGAAGAAGUUGACGGUUGGAUUUUUCUGGCCUUACAUGCGUCAGAUUUUGGGCUGUCCUUCUGUUGGACGCUCACCUUGAAAAUCAAGUUGCAACACUCAUCAAGUAUCUGUAUAGGAGAGAUUUGCUUCUUGCAUCAGAGUUCAAUAUCAUGAAUGAUUAUAUGCUGUCAGGUUUGUCAAUUCAAGAGUUCAAUAUCAUGUUGUUUAUCUAUUGAUCGUUUGGCCUGAAACAUCAGAUUGCUUGAUGGGUUUUGAUUUUUAAGCUUUUUCUGAAAAAUUUUCAACUGACAAUCAUGCGAGUAGUUAAAUCUUAUGAUCAGUUUCGGUGUCCUGCCUUCAUCACACUUUUCUGGAUAAUAUCAUUAUCUGGAGGGUUGGCCAUUCCUUCUGAGUUGGAUUUGGACUUUGGUUCAACCAUGUGUUGGUAUUUGGAGUGAUAAAUGCUACUCAAAAUAUGGAAGAAGAUGGCCAUUUAUUUUAGUUGGAUCCCUCAUGAUCUCUAUCACUGGUCCAGCUCCUGCUCUUCUGGCUAAUCUCUCAGGUGGUUUCCAUUUUUGAAAACAAGAGCUUGCUGUGAAGCCUGUGGAAACUUGAAAGCAGCCUUUUGGAGUCUUCGCUUCUAUUCGCUGGUCAUGAUGAGAAUGGGCCUAGUUUAUACUACACGGACCCAUCUGGUACCUUCUGGCAAUGCAAUGCAAAGGCAAUAGGUUCGGGCUCCGAAGGUGCUGACAGCUCAUUGCAGGAGCAAUACAACAAGGUAUCAUUCAUUCAAUCAAAGAUUUUCUUUUUUCUUUUAUUUUGUUCAUUUUCUUCUUAUUUGUGGACAUUAUACUUCUGUUUC